AGUUUCCAUGGAAAGGCAGCUUCAUCAAAUUUUGAGUGUUCUGUGCUAUGUCUGAGAAUAAAGGUGAAGAGACAGGUUUCAUGACCUCAGGAAGAUCCCUUACGGGAGCCCCAUAAGGAAGAUGUGGAUUACUGGAGGAGAAAGGUGCACCAGCUGACACCACCCAGAUCCAUAAACUGGCUCAUCUGGUCUUGUGGUCCUCAUUCGGGAACUGACAGUGCAAGAGGAGAGCUUCAACUCCCUAUGAUUUCAUCUCUUCCCCAACCAGUCAGCAGCAAGUACCCAUUGCAUGGCCAUCCCUUCUCCCAAACUGCCUUUGAAAAACUCCUAACCUACCAGUCUGAGGGAAGAUUGAUUUGAGUAAUAACUCUGAUAUGGUUUCGGUCUGUGUCCUCACCCAAAUCUCAGGUUGAAUUGUUACCCCAGUGUUGAAGGAGGGGCGUGGUGGGAGGUGAUUGGACCAUGACGGCGGAUUUCCCCCUGGCUGUUCUCAUGAUAUGAGUGAGUUCUCACUAGAUCUGGUUGUUUAAAAGUAUGUAGAACCUCCCCCUUCUCUCUCGGCCUCCUGCUCCAGCCACGUAGGACAUGCCUCCUUCCUCAUCACCUUCUGCCAUGAUUGUAAGUUUCCUGAGGUCUCCCCAGACAUGCUUCCUGUAUAGCUUGUGGAACUGUGAGUCAAUUAAAUCUCUUUUCUUUAUAAAUUACUCAGUCUCAGGUAGUUCUUUAUAGCAGUGUGAGAAUGGACUAAUACAAACUCUGUGUGGUGUAGCCAGCCUUGCAUCAACUAAACUCUUUCUUCACUGCAAUGCCAUGUUUUACAACUCAUACAGAGACAAGGCCUAAGGAUGAAGAUCACCCAUCAUCCAACAAACCGUUGGAAGCUAUGUUCAAACUGAAAGAAUCACCUGAGAUGCUGAUAAACUAUUUUCAAAAGUGCUUGAAUCAUUUUACAUUUCCACCAGUAGUGUAGAAGUGCUUCAGUCAUUCCACAUCCUCAAGGUCACUUGAUAUGGUCAGUCUUUAAUUUUAGCUAUUCUAAUGGGUAUGCAGUGGUAUCUCAUGUGGUUUUAAAUUUAUUGAGCAUCUUUUCAAAUGAUCAUAUGUCAUGUGUUUCUUUAAAGUGUCUUUUAAAAUCUUUUUUACUUUUCUUUUUUGGUUGUACACUUUUUAAAAUUAUUGUGUUUCAAAUACUCUUUCUGUGUUCUGGGUACAAGUUCUUUAUCAGACAUGUGACUUACAACUUUUUUGUCUGAACCUGUAGCUUGGAUGUGUGCUUUUAGAAAAGGAAACAUUCUUAAUUUUGAAUAAGUUCAAUUUGCCAUUCUUUUUCUUUAAAGAUCAUGCCUUUGAUGUUGUAUGUGAGAGACUGUUGCCUAACCUAAGGUCACAAAUAUUUUCUCUUGUAUUUUUUAGAAGAUUUUUACCUUUAAAAUUUACCUUUAGGUCUGUAGUCCAUUUUGAUUUAAUUUUUGUGUGUGAUGUGCAAUAUAAUAGGCAGAAUUCCUAAUGCUGUGUUCUAGCCACUAUGUACUACAAUAGGAUGAACAAAACUGACAAAAAUGAGAAAUUGGAGAGGUAAGAAAAAUAUAUAGUAAUCAUGACAGAAAAAAUUACAAUUUGCUUGACUGAUUACUUAAGUGUUGAAUUCAAUGAAUUAAGUUCUUAAAUUCAGCUUGAGUAAAGCAUACCAGAGACAAGUAUGAAGAAACAAAUUAGUGAUUUUAGUGAUCUUUAAAAAAUAGUAAUAAACCAUUUUAUCUAAUAGAAGUGUUUUCAACAUUAUUCUAUUUAGAGUUAAUCUUCAUGAACUUUAAAAUUUAAUUCAUCACUCAUCGAUUCAACAGUGUUUACUCUAGCAUGUCAUAUUUUUUUCUUCAAACUCUGUACAUUGAAAUAUA
This 1898-nucleotide long non-coding RNA is filed under the name Papio anubis (olive baboon). RNAcentral's name for it is "lncRNA (ENSPANG00000047080.1)". Lineage: Eukaryota; Metazoa; Chordata; Mammalia; Primates; Cercopithecidae. The record is from RNAcentral.